GAGCGAUGGAUUGAGAGCUUGCUCUCAAGAAGUUAGCGGCGGACGGGUGAGUAACACGUGGGUAACCUGCCCAUAAGACUGGGAUAACUCCGGGAAACCGGGGCUAAUACCGGAUAACAUUUUGAACUGCAUGGUUCGAAAUUGAAAGGCGGCUUCGGCUGUCACUUAUGGAUGGACCCGCGUCGCAUUAGCUAGUUGGUGAGGUAACGGCUCACCAAGGCAACGAUGCGUAGCCGACCUGAGAGGGUGAUCGGCCACACUGGGACUGAGACACGGCCCAGACUCCUACGGGAGGCAGCAGUAGGGAAUCUUCCGCAAUGGACGAAAGUCUGACGGAGCAACGCCGCGUGAGUGAUGAAGGCUUUCGGGUCGUAAAACUCUGUUGUUAGGGAAGAACAAGUGCUAGUUGAAUAAGCUGGCACCUUGACGGUACCUAACCAGAAAGCCACGGCUAACUACGUGCCAGCAGCCGCGGUAAUACGUAGGUGGCAAGCGUUAUCCGGAAUUAUUGGGCGUAAAGCGCGCGCAGGUGGUUUCUUAAGUCUGAUGUGAAAGCCCACGGCUCAACCGUGGAGGGUCAUUGGAAACUGGGAGACUUGAGUGCAGAAGAGGAAAGUGGAAUUCCAUGUGUAGCGGUGAAAU
Molecule: ribosomal RNA, 642 nt
Filed under: Bacillus sp. Z16_1
Lineage: Bacteria; Bacillati; Bacillota; Bacilli; Caryophanales; Bacillaceae
Description: bacterial SSU rRNA
Rfam family: Bacterial small subunit ribosomal RNA
Source: RNAcentral